Molecule: unclassified non-coding RNA, 20 nt
Filed under: Chlamydomonas reinhardtii
Lineage: Eukaryota; Viridiplantae; Chlorophyta; Chlorophyceae; Chlamydomonadales; Chlamydomonadaceae
Description: small RNA Cre_1798
Source: RNAcentral
GCUGUAUCCCUGACGCAUAC